RNAcentral lists this ribosomal RNA (407 nucleotides) under uncultured bacterium. RNAcentral's name for it is "partial 16S ribosomal RNA". It matches the Rfam family "Bacterial small subunit ribosomal RNA", at positions 30 to 526 of the family's 1533-position model. The record is from RNAcentral.
AUUGAACGCUAGCGGGAUGCCUUACACAUGCAAGUCGAACGGAGUGGCGAACGGGUGCGUAAUGUAACGGAACGUGCCCAGUCGCGGGGGAUAACUACGCGAAAGCGUAGCUAAUACCGAAUACUAUCGGCGCGGACGAUAUCGGAUUAGCUUGUUGGUGGGGGAACGGCGCACCAAGGCGACGAUCCGUAGCUGGUUUGAGAGGACGACCAGCCACACUGGGACUGAGAAACGGCCCAGACUCCUACGGGAGGGAGCAGUGGGGAAUUUUUGACAAUGGGAGAAACCCUGAUCCAGCCAUCCCGCGUGUGCGAUGAAGGCAUUCGGGUUGUAAAGCACUUUUGGUAGGAAAGCGGUACCUGCAGAAUAAGCACCGGCUAACUACGUGCCAGCAGCCGCGGUAAUAC